Molecule: ribosomal RNA, 253 nt
Filed under: uncultured bacterium
Lineage: Bacteria
Description: partial 16S ribosomal RNA
Rfam family: Bacterial small subunit ribosomal RNA
Source: RNAcentral
UACGGAGGGUGCAAGCGUUGUCCGGAUUUAUUGGGUUUAAAGGGUGCGUAGGUGGUUUGGUAAGUCUGGUUUGAAAGUCAGCCGCUUAACGGUUGAGGGUGGCUGGAUACUGCCGAACUUGAAUGUCCCGGAGGCAGGCGGAACGGGUUGUGUAGCGGUGAAAUGCAUAGAUAUGACCCAGAACACCGAUUGCGAAGGCAGCCUGCUACGGGAAGAUUGACACUGAGGCACGAGAGCAUGGGGAGCAAACAGG